Molecule: ribosomal RNA, 497 nt
Filed under: uncultured bacterium
Lineage: Bacteria
Description: partial 16S ribosomal RNA
Rfam family: Bacterial small subunit ribosomal RNA
Source: RNAcentral
GAUGAACGCUGGCGGCGUGCCUAAUACAUGCAAGUCGAGCGAACGGACGAGAAGCUUGCUUCUCUGAUGUUAGCGGCGGACGGGUGAGUAACACGUGGAUAACCUACCUAUAAGACUGGGAUAACUUCGGGAAACCGUAGCUAAUACCGGAUAAUAUUUUGAACCGCAUUGUUCAAAAGUGAAAGACGGUCUUGCUGUCACUUAUCGAUGGAUCCGCGCUGCAUUAGCUAGUUGGUAAGGUAACGGCUUACCAAGGCAACGAUGCAUAGCCGACCUGAGAGGGUGAUCGGCCACACUGGAACUGAGACACGGUCCAGGCUCCUACGGGAGGCAGCAGUAGGGAAUCUUACGCAAUGGGCGAAAGCCUGACGGAGCAGCGCCGCGUGAGUGAUGAAGGUCUUCGGAUCGUAAAACUCUGUUAUUAGGGAAGAACAUAUGUGUAAGUAACUGUGCACAUCUUGACGGUACCUAAUCAGAAAGCCACGGCUAACUACGUG